Molecule: unclassified non-coding RNA, 540 nt
Filed under: Hevea brasiliensis (rubber tree)
Lineage: Eukaryota; Viridiplantae; Streptophyta; Magnoliopsida; Malpighiales; Euphorbiaceae
Source: RNAcentral
CGCUGUUUCUCUGAUUCUCUCUUGCCAACAGAGAGAAGCAGAGGAGAUCAUUCAUCCUAUUGUAGAAAAUGGCCGGCAAUGGAGGAGUUGCUCGCAGGUGUAGGAGAAGCUAUGUUGCGUUCAGGGAGACGAGCUUCUUGGACAGGAGGAAAACGCGAACCAAUCUCCGAAACGUUUCGAUGAUCCCUCUCUUCAAAAGGCCCCUCUUCUAUCCUCGAUGGCGAUUGCUUAGUGGAAGCAACCGCAUUUUGAGCAUGGAUGCUCGAGAAAAAUCAAAAUCCUUAAUAUUGGAAUCAUCAAAGCAUAAGAGGGUCCCCAUAUUUGUCAUGACGCCUGUGGACACAUUUUGCAUCGAUUCUUCUGGGAGUCCAAGGAUCAGAAAAAUCAAGGCCUUAACUAUAUCUCUAAAAGCACUCAAGUUGGCAGGUGUCUUGGAAUUGCAGUAGAGGUUUGGUGGGGAAUCGUUGAGCGUUCUUCUCCUCUUGAAUAUAAUUGGUUCCUUUACGAAGAGCUUUUCAGAUUGGUAUCUGAGUCGGGGCA